Molecule: ribosomal RNA, 301 nt
Filed under: uncultured bacterium
Lineage: Bacteria
Description: partial 16S ribosomal RNA
Rfam family: Bacterial small subunit ribosomal RNA
Source: RNAcentral
CAGCCGCCACGGGAAAACGUAGGGCGCAAGCGUUAUCCGGAAUUAUUGGGCAUAAAGAGCUCGUAGGCGGUUUGUCGCGUCUGCCGUGAAAGUCCGGGGCUCAACCCCGGAUCUGCGGUGGGUACGGGCAGACUAGAGUGAUGUAGGGGAGACUGGAAUUCCUGGUGUAGCGGUGAAAUGCGCAGAUAUCAGGAGGAACACCGAUGGCGAAGGCAGGUCUCUGGGCAUUAACUGACGCUGAGGAGCGAAAGCAUGGGGAGUGAACAGGAUUAGAUACCCGUGUAGUCCCUGUCUCUUAUAC